AGUGGCGCACGGGUGAGUAACACGUGACUAACCUACCCUGGAGUGGGGGAUAACUGAGGGAAACCUUAGCUAAUACCGCAUAAUACCCACGGGUCAAAGGAGCAAUUCGCUCCAGGAGGGGGUCGCGGCCGAUUAGUUAGUUGGCGGGGUAAUGGCCCACCAAGACGAUGAUCGGUAUCCGGCCUGAGAGGGCGCACGGACACACUGGAACUGAAACACGGUCCAGACUCCUACGGGAGGCAGCAGUGGGGAAUUUUGCGCAAUGGGGGAAACCCUGACGCAGCAACGCCGCGUGGGGGAUGAAGCUUUUCGGAGUGUAAACCCCUUUCGACUGGGACGAAUGCCCGCAAGGGAGUGACGGUACCAGUAGAAGAAGCCCCGGCUAACUACGUGCCAGCAGCCGCGGUAAGACGUAGGGGGCCAGCGUUGUUCGGAAUUACUGGGUGUAAAGGGUUCGUAGGCGGUGUGGCAAGUCGGGAGUGAAAUCUUUGGGCUUAACCCAGAGGCUGCUUCCGAAACUGCUGUGCUCGAGUGUGGGAGAGGCGCGUGGAAUUGCAGGUGUAGCGGUGAAAUGCGUAGAUAUCUGCAGGAACACCCGUGGCGAAAGCGGCGCGCUGGACCACUACUGACGCUGAGGAACGAAAGCUAGGGGAGCAAACAGGAUUAGAUACCCUGGUAUUCCUAGCCCUAAACGAUCAGGACUUGGGGUGCCACCCGUUCGGGUGUCGUCCCGGAGCUAACGCGUUAAGUCCUGCACCUGGGGAGUACGGUCGCAAGACUGAAACUCAAAGGAAUUGACGGGGGCCCGCACAAGCGGUGGAACAUGUGGUUCAAUUCGA
This 839-nucleotide ribosomal RNA is filed under the name uncultured bacterium. RNAcentral describes it as "bacterial SSU rRNA". It matches the Rfam family "Bacterial small subunit ribosomal RNA", at positions 94 to 954 of the family's 1533-position model. The record is from RNAcentral.